UACGGAAGGCAGCAGUGGGGAAGUAUUGCACAAUGGGCGCAAGCCUGAUGCAGCCAUGCCGCGUGUAUGAAAAAGGCCUUCGGGUUGUAAAGUACUUUCAGUCGUGAGGAAGGUGUUAAGGUUAAUAACCUUAGCAAUUGACGUUAGCGACAGAAGAAGCACCGGCUAACUCCGUGCCAGCAGCCGCGGUAAUACGGAGGGUGCGAGCGUUAAUCGGAAUUACUGGGCGUAAAGGGCACGCAGGCGGUUAAUUAAGUUGGAUGUGAAUCCCCGGGCUUAACCUGGGAAUGGCAUUCAAGACUGGUUAGCUAGAGUCUUGUAGAGGGGGUAGAAUUCCAUGUGUAGCGGUGAAAUGGCGUAGAGAUGUGGAGGAAUACCGGUGGCGAAGGCGGCCCCUGGACAAAGACUGACGCUCAUGUGCGAAAGCGUGGGGAGCGAAAC
RNAcentral lists this ribosomal RNA (441 nucleotides) under uncultured bacterium. RNAcentral's name for it is "bacterial SSU rRNA". It matches the Rfam family "Bacterial small subunit ribosomal RNA", at positions 340 to 774 of the family's 1533-position model. The record is from RNAcentral.